Molecule: ribosomal RNA, 470 nt
Filed under: uncultured bacterium
Lineage: Bacteria
Description: bacterial SSU rRNA
Rfam family: Bacterial small subunit ribosomal RNA
Source: RNAcentral
GAUGAACGCUGGCGGCGUGCCUAAUACGUGCAAGUCGAACGAGGCCCCCACCUUCCGGGUGGGAUGUCCUAGUGGCGAACGGGUGAGUAUCACGUUGGUGACCUACCCCGAAGACGGGGGACAACUCCGGGAAACUGGAGCUAAUACCCCAUGUGAUCCUAAGGACUAGAUGCCUAAGGAUGAAAGGGAGCAAUCCGCUUCGGGAGGGGCCUGCGGCCUAUCAGCUAGUUGGUGAGGUAAUGGCUCACCAAGGCGACGACGGGUAGGGGACCUGAGAGGGUGAUCCCCCACACUGGAACUGAAACACGGACCAGACACCUACGGGUGGCAGCAGUAGGGAAUAUUGCACAAUGGGCGAAAGCCUGAUGCAGCAACGCCGCGUGCGCGAUGAAGGCCUUCGGGUUGUAAAGCGCUUUUCUGGGGGACGAGAAAGGACGGUACCCCAGGAAUAAGUCUCGGCUAACUACGUG